UACGGAGGAUGCGAGCGUUAUCCGGAUUUAUUGGGUUUAAAGGGUGCGUAGGCGGCUUUUUAAGUCAGCGGUGAAAUUUUGCAGCUUAACUGUAACAGUUCCGUUGAUACUGGGGAGCUAGGAUUUGGUUGCUGUGGGUGGAAUGUGUGGUGUAGCGGUGAAAUGCUUAGAGAUCACACAGAAUAUCGAUUGCGAAGGCAGCUCACAAAGCCAAGAUUGACGCUGAGGCACGAAAGUGUGGGGAUCAAACAGGAUUAGA
Molecule: ribosomal RNA, 259 nt
Filed under: uncultured prokaryote
Description: partial 16S ribosomal RNA
Rfam family: Bacterial small subunit ribosomal RNA
Source: RNAcentral